RNAcentral lists this unclassified non-coding RNA (315 nucleotides) under fungal sp. Its description in RNAcentral is "partial internal transcribed spacer region". The stretch from base 1 to 46 matches the Rfam family "Eukaryotic small subunit ribosomal RNA", at positions 1786 to 1831 of the family's 1831-position model. Lineage: Eukaryota; Fungi. The record is from RNAcentral.
AAGUCGUAACAAGGUAACCGUAGGUGAACCUGCGGUUGGAUCAUUACAAAAUGAUGGGUCUUGAAAGCGUGUAAGUCCAGUUUUUAGGUAGAUAUUGAUUUGCCUUCUAUACCGCUGAAAACUUUCAAGACUUAAUUAACCCUUUGUGCACAAAAAUGUUUUUUGGGUUGGCUUCAUUAGAGGCGAGCCCAGCAUAUUAUGUCUGCGAGUCACGCAAGUGUUUAGCAGGCAUAAAGUAAACACCUUUUUUAAUUUGACUGAAUUUUUUUGAAAUAUAAAAAAUAACAACUUUUGACAACGGAUCUCUUGGCUCUC